AACGAACGCUGGCGGCAGGCCUAACACAUGCAAGUCGAGCGAGGACUUCGGUUCUAGCGGCGGACGGGUGAGUAACGCGUGGGAAUGUGCCCUUCUCUACGGAAUAGCCCUGGGAAACUGGGAGUAAUACCGUAUACGCCCUUUUGGGGAAAGAUUUAUCGGAGAAGGAUCAGCCCGCGUUGGAUUAGGUAGUUGGUGGGGUAAUGGCCUACCAAGCCGACGAUCCAUAGCUGGUUUGAGAGGAUGAUCAGCCACACUGGGACUGAGACACGGCCCAGACUCCUACGGGGGGCAGCAGUGGGGAAUCUUAGACAAGGGGGGCAACCCUGAUCUAGCCAUGCCGCGUGAGUGAUGAAGGCCUUAGGGUUGUAAAGCUCUUUCAGCUGGGAAGAUAAUGACGGUACCAGCAGAAGAAGCCCCGGCUAACUCCGUG
Molecule: ribosomal RNA, 433 nt
Filed under: uncultured bacterium
Lineage: Bacteria
Description: partial 16S ribosomal RNA
Rfam family: Bacterial small subunit ribosomal RNA
Source: RNAcentral